Acinonyx jubatus (cheetah) is the source of this 1690-nucleotide RNA transcript. It is a transcript of the gene named protein phosphatase 1 regulatory subunit 42, with no coding region annotated. The record is from RefSeq and is a predicted model, not a curated record. Lineage: Eukaryota; Metazoa; Chordata; Mammalia; Carnivora; Felidae. The transcript has 11 exons.
GACACCUCGCGCGAGAUUUCCCGGAAGCCAUUGCCCUAGCAAGAGCGUUGGGUCGCCUGGCAACCGCACCAAGGCUGCAGAGGAACGAGGCACUGAGGAAAUUUACAAACCUGACUUCCAGACUCAGUUCCUCCCGCAAGGGGAGAGGUGCCUUCAGGGAAGAAGUCUGGGGGGCUGAAGAAACCAUAAAGCCACGUUUCUCAAACUUGUCUGCCAAAAGUUGAGCAUAAAACAAUAGUUAAACCUGCUUCCUGACAUGGUAUCAGAACAGAGCUACUGCUGAGAGUUUGACUUAUAGAGAAAUCAUGGUUCGACUAACCUUGGAUCUAAUUGCCAAAAGUAACAAUCUUAAACCCCGAAAAGAAGAAACCACUUCACGAUACCUGAAGAAAAUAACUCAUCUAAAUUUUUCAGACAAAAAUAUAGAUACAAUUGGAGACCUCUCUCCUUGCAAAAGUCUUAGUGUUUUAUACUUGUAUGAUAACCAUAUUAGUGAAAUCACUAACUUGAAUUAUGCUACAAAUCUGACCCACCUGUACCUACAAAACAAUUGUAUUUCAUGUAUAGAGAACCUCAGGUCAUUAAAGAAACUGGAAAAACUGUACCUGGGAAGCAAUUAUAUUGCUGUCAUAGAAGGUUUAGAAGGAUUAGAAGGACUAAGAGAGCUUCAUGUUGAGAGUCAGAGGCUUCCCCUUGGAGAAAAGCUUCUGUUUGAUCCAAGAACUCUUCAUUCUCUGGGAAAAUCCCUCUCUAUAUUGAAUAUCAGCAAUAAUAAUAUUGAUGACAUAAGAGACUUAGAAAUACUGGAGAAUCUUAAUCAGCUCAUAGCAGUUGACAACCAACUUCUGCAUGUGAAGUGCCUCCACCCCUCACCAACAGAAAGAAGUUUCUCUGAGAAGAAAGAUUUGGAAUUUUUACUGAACAAGUUGAUGAAGCUGUGGAAAAUGGAUCUAAAUGGAAAUCCUGUUUGUCUCAAACCCAAAUACAGAGACAGACUGAUACUGGUGUCCAAAUCACUGGAAUUUCUUGAUGGAAAAGAAAUUAAAAAUAUAGAAAGACAAUUCCUAAUAAAUUGGAAAGCAUCCAAAGAUGCCAAGAAAAUCAGCAAGAAAAAGAACAGUAAAAACGAGGAUGCAAGUAACUCAUACAUAAGUAACUUUGAAACAAUCCAUCACAUAGUUCCUGUUUAUUACCCACAGGUGGGUAAGCCAAAAUUAGUCUUUUUCCCUGAUAUACCAAGAAACCUUGCAAAUGGAAAUUCAUCCUCAGAAAGCUCCCAAGAAGAUAAACCUAAAAUUGCUGAAGAUAUGGGGAAUUAGGACUACUCUAGAAUCAUCAGAGGAUUCAGAGAGGCUGCUUAGAGUAGCAGCAGAUAUGACCAGGUGGCCCACAGUGGAAUCCCUCUUUGAAGGAAUGUGAAAGCUUGCUGACAAAAAAAUGAUAUAUAUGAAUUUCACCUUCUCCAUAACCCAAAAGAAAAUGUUUGUAAAAAAAAAAAAAAGUAAAUUCGUCCUUAAGUGUUCUUUAACAUUUGUUUGUUUGUUUGUUUUUUACCUUUACAGUACUAGGCAAUAGCAUCUUCUGCAAUUUGUAGCUUUAUGGUAUCUCAUUAUGUAAAGAAAAUGAAAAUUGCUUUUCAAUUGCUUUAUGCCUCAUCACAGACAAUUUACUGAGAAAAUAAAGAUGUGCU